RNAcentral lists this transfer RNA (67 nucleotides) under Fusiturris similis. RNAcentral's name for it is "tRNA-Gln". The record is from RNAcentral. Lineage: Eukaryota; Metazoa; Mollusca; Gastropoda; Neogastropoda; Turridae.
UUACAUAGCGGUGUACGGGCACAAAGAAUUUUGAUUUCUUAGGAGAGGCUCAUAGCCUCCUAGUAAG